This 394-nucleotide ribosomal RNA is filed under the name uncultured bacterium. RNAcentral's name for it is "partial 16S ribosomal RNA". It matches the Rfam family "Bacterial small subunit ribosomal RNA", at positions 523 to 917 of the family's 1533-position model. The record is from RNAcentral.
AUACGGAGGAUGCGAGCGUUAUCCGGAUUCAUUGGGUAUAAAGGGUGCGUAGGCGGCCCCCCAAGUCAGCGGUGAAAUGUCCGGGCCCAACCCGGAGGGUGCCGUUGAUACUGCGGGGCUGGAGUACGGACGCCGGCGGAGGCAUGAGUGGUGUAGCGGUGAAAUGCAUAGAUAUCACUCAGAACACCGAUUGCGAAGGCAUCCGCCGAGGCCGUUACUGACGCUGAGGCACGAAAGCGUGGGGAUAGAACAGGAUUAGAUACCCUGGUAUUCCACGCCGUAAACGAUGAUGACUAACCGCCGGGCGGAAUGACGUCCGGCAGCCAAGCGAAAGCGAUAAGUCAUCCACCUGGGGAGUACGGCCGCAAGGCUGAAACUCAAAGGAAUUGACGGG